This 346-nucleotide RNase P RNA is filed under the name Alphaproteobacteria bacterium. Its description in RNAcentral is "RNase P RNA component class A". It matches the Rfam family "Bacterial RNase P class A". Rfam says of the family: Ribonuclease P (RNase P) is a ubiquitous endoribonuclease, found in archaea, bacteria and eukarya as well as chloroplasts and mitochondria. Its best characterised activity is the generation of mature 5'-ends of tRNAs by cleaving the 5'-leader elements of precursor-tRNAs. Lineage: Bacteria; Pseudomonadati; Pseudomonadota; Alphaproteobacteria. The record is from RNAcentral.
CAGGCAGACGGAGCAUAGCCGUUUUGAUAUAAUGUCAUAAUGGAGGAAAGUCCGGACUGCAUUGGGACGCAUAGCGGCUAACGGCCGCGCGGAGUAAUCCGACGAUUAGAGCUACAGAGACGAGCUGAUUAAAUUCAGAGUGAAACGAGCAAUCUCUAUGUGCAGCAACCCCGAAAAGGUUUUCCGCCCGGUCCCAGGGCUAUGGAUAACGGGUAGGGGGCUUGACACUUUACAGCAAUGUAUUGUGCAGAUUAAUUAUGCUUGUCACCAUUAAAUGUCUGCGUUGACCCGGCGCAACCGCAUCAAAUGGCGAUACAGAAUCCGGCUUAUAUAUCUGACCUGGACG